Molecule: unclassified non-coding RNA, 337 nt
Filed under: soil metagenome
Description: partial contains 5.8S ribosomal RNA, internal transcribed spacer 2, and large subunit ribosomal RNA
Rfam family: 5.8S ribosomal RNA (bases 1-120)
Source: RNAcentral
GAUGAAGAACGCAGCGAAAUGCGAUAAGUAAUGUGAAUUGCAGAAUUCAGUGAAUCAUCGAAUCUUUGAACGCACAUUGCGCCCGCCAGUAUUCUGGCGGGCAUGCCUGUUCGAGCGUCAUUUCAACCAUCAAGCCCCCGGGCUUGUGUUGGGGACCUGCGGCUGCCGCAGGCCCUGGAAAGCAGUGGCGGGCUCGCUGUCACACCGAGCGUAGUAGAUUUUAUCUCGCUCAGGGCGUGCUGCGGGUUCCGGCCGUUAAACCACCUUCAUAACCCAAGGUUGACCUCGGAUCAGGUAGGAAGACCCGCUGAACUUAAGCAUAUCAAUAAGCGGAGGA